RNAcentral lists this ribosomal RNA (481 nucleotides) under uncultured bacterium. RNAcentral describes it as "partial 16S ribosomal RNA". It matches the Rfam family "Bacterial small subunit ribosomal RNA", at positions 899 to 1397 of the family's 1533-position model. The record is from RNAcentral.
ACUCAAAUGAAUUGACGGGUCCCCGCACAAGCAGCGGAGCGUGUGGUUUAAUUCGAUGCAACGCGAAGAACCUUACCUGGGUUUGACAUGUAUUCGCAACCCUUUGAAAGAAGGGCCUCCGCAAGGACGGAUACACAGAUGUUGCAUGGCUGUCGUCAGCUCGUGUCGUGAGAUGUUGGGUUAAGUCCCUCAACGAGCGCAACCCUUAUUUCUAGUUAUCUAUCUAGAGAGACUGCCGGAAACAAACCGGAGGAAGGCGGGGAUGAUGUCAAGUCAGCAUGACUCUUACACCCAGGGCUACACACACGCUACAAUGGAGGGUACAACGAGAAGCCAACCCGCGAGGGUGAGCAGACCUCUAAAAGCUUUCCUCAGUUCAGAUUGCACUCUGCAACCCGAGUGCAUGAAGUCGGAGUUGCUAGUAACCGCGUGUCAGCAUAGCGCGGUGAAUAUGUUCCCGGGGAUUGUACACACCGCCCGU